This 450-nucleotide ribosomal RNA is filed under the name uncultured bacterium. RNAcentral's name for it is "bacterial SSU rRNA". It matches the Rfam family "Bacterial small subunit ribosomal RNA", at positions 354 to 796 of the family's 1533-position model. The record is from RNAcentral.
GUGGGGAAUAUUGCGCAAUGGGCGAAAGCCUGACGCAGCGACGCCGCGUGGAGGAUGAAGGCCUUCGGGUUGUAAACUCCUGUCAGGGGGAACGAAAAGGCUUCGGUGAAUAGCCGAGGCUCUUGACGGUACCCUCAGAGGAAGCCCCGGCUAACUACGUGCCAGCAGCCGCGGUAAUACGUAGGGGGCGAGCGUUGUUCGGAUUUAUUGGGCGUAAAGCGCGCGUAGGCGGUGAGGUAAGUGAGAGGUUAAAUCCCUCUGCUCAACAGAGGAAUCGCCUCUUAAACUGCCUUGCUUGAGUUCAGGAGAGGAGAGCGGAAUUCCUGGUGGAGCGGUGAAAUGCGUAGAUACCAGGAGGAACACCGGUGGCGAAGGCGGCUCUCUGGACUGAUACUGACGCUGAGGCGCGAAAGCCAGGGGAGCAAACGGGAUUAGAAACCCCAGUAGUCC